This 72-nucleotide transfer RNA is filed under the name bacterium. Its description in RNAcentral is "tRNA-Arg". It matches the Rfam family "tRNA". From Rfam's summary of the family: Transfer RNA (tRNA) molecules are approximately 80 nucleotides in length. Their secondary structure includes four short double-helical elements and three loops (D, anti-codon, and T loops). The record is from RNAcentral.
GUCCCCAUAGCUCAAUGGAUAGAGCAGCGCUCUUCUAAGGCGUUGAUCCGGGUUCGACUCCUGGUGGGGACG